CCUACGGGGGGCAGCAGUGGGGGAUAUUGCACAAUGGGGGAAACCCUGAUGCAGCGACGCCGCGUGAGUGAAGAAGCAUUUCGGUGUGUAAAGCUCUAUCAGCAGGGAAGAAGAAUGACGGUACCUGACCAAGAAGCCCCGGCUAACUACGUGCCAGCAGCCGCGGUAAUACGUAGGGGGCAAGCGUUAUCCGGAUUUACUGGGUGUAAAGGGAGCGUAGACGGCAAUGCAAGCCAGAUGUGAAAACCCGCAGCUCAACUGGGGGAGUGCAUUUGGAACUGUGUAGCUGGAGUGCAGGAGAGGUAAGCGGAAUUCCUGGUGUAGCGGUGAAAUGCGUAGAUAUCAGGAGGAACACCAGUGGCGAAGGCGGCUUACUGGACUGUAACUGACGUUGAGGCUCGAAAGCGUGGGGAGCAAACAGGAUUAGAUACCCCUGU
Molecule: ribosomal RNA, 437 nt
Filed under: uncultured bacterium
Lineage: Bacteria
Description: bacterial SSU rRNA
Rfam family: Bacterial small subunit ribosomal RNA
Source: RNAcentral